This 429-nucleotide long non-coding RNA is filed under the name Phaseolus vulgaris (common bean). Its description in RNAcentral is "long non-coding RNA (PVUL_LNC001037)". Lineage: Eukaryota; Viridiplantae; Streptophyta; Magnoliopsida; Fabales; Fabaceae. The record is from RNAcentral.
ACAAAUCAAGGACGUUGAUGCGGCACAAUCAAAGGCGGUUUCUGUGUUUUGGAUUGGCAUGGCUGAGGUAAACAAAUUCAAUAUUAAACUUCCAAAUGUUAAAUAAGAAUCUGUUCCCUCUCCCUCCCUUACCUCACAAAAAGGUUCAGCUUUGUCAAUAAACACUGGAGAAAUUUCUUUGCCUACAAAAGCUAUUUCAAACGUGAGAUUUGAUUUCUCUAGAAAAUGUAUCCCACUUACAAGUGUCAAAUAAGUACAUUAUUUUUUACAAAUUUGAUUUUCAGCGUCAGGUAUUGGGUUUAAAUGUUCAGGAUACAAAAUAGUUGCUCCGUGAAGCCAUGCAACAUUAUGGUAUACCCUGGCUUCAAAAGUUUAAUAUAUUUGAUAAUGCCUUGCCUAUUUGAACUUUCAUUUUCCAUCAGAGCGUGC